Molecule: long non-coding RNA, 446 nt
Filed under: Androctonus crassicauda
Lineage: Eukaryota; Metazoa; Arthropoda; Arachnida; Scorpiones; Buthidae
Source: RNAcentral
AUUGGUUUGAAAAGCUAUGGGAAACUAUUUACUAACAAUUACUCAGGGGAUUAAACCAGGGGAGUUUGUGCUUUGGAUGGAUAUUUGCUAUGGGAAACUAUCUCUGUCAAAAUAUUGUUGCCUUCUGUAAUGAACAAUCUCCAUUUUGUAUGCAUGCUAUCUUGUGGCUGGAAUCACAUGACAACAUGAGUUGUAUUCAUUGCUUAGUAUCUUAUGCAAAAAUUAUAAUGGAUGAACACCUGCUGGCACAACGUGACAUUAUUUUCCAAAAGAUGAUGCAAUUAGGAAACAAUGAAUUAUAAAAAUUUGUUUGAUGUUGGUAGAUAUUUCCAAUUUGCAAGGAGUAUGAGAGUUUGUUUAACUCAUUUUGUGGAAAGUGAUUUCAGGCCUUUGCUUCAUUCAAAAUGAUGUUAUUUGAAAUUAGAUGCUAUUCCUUCUGUUUUCCC